RNAcentral lists this long non-coding RNA (425 nucleotides) under Nicotiana benthamiana. RNAcentral describes it as "long non-coding RNA (NBEN_LNC003293)". The record is from RNAcentral. Lineage: Eukaryota; Viridiplantae; Streptophyta; Magnoliopsida; Solanales; Solanaceae.
AGACUGAAAAAAACCGAAGCUAUGAAUUAGAACUUCGACAUAGAAGCCUCGCCGGAAGCUUCGAACGGAUCUCACACGACUCAGUCUUAAUCGGACUCCAUUAAAAACCAAAGGUCUCGAACGAGCAUCGCGACGACCUCGAACAAAAUUGUUUGUUGUUAUGGGGCUGUUCUGCUGCGUUUUUUGGAGCUAUUUUUGAGCCGUUUUUCAGCUUUAUUUUGAGCUUUCGGAACAGUUUUUCAUGACCAGAAUUGCUGACUUCAACAGUGGUCUAUGGGUUGGUUUUAACUGGUUUUAAGGCAGAGUUUUUCAUGAUUGUUUAGGGUAUUUUGGAACUGAUUUGAAGUGUUUUCUGGAGGAUGGUGGCUUGCUGAUUUCUAAAGGAAGCGAGGGUGGUCGUUCUUAUGGGUGUCGCAGGUUCUAAG